UUGGGGUGCAGGAGGGUCAGUGAAGAGCCCCAUCACCUGGCCGUCGGCAGCGCUGAUGGGAGAGGUAUUUGGGAAGAUGAGAUGCUUUUAGGAAACACACUUAACUGAAGGGAAGAAAUAUAUUUAUUUAUUUAUAUUUUGGGGGUUAUUUUUUUGGGGGGGAAAACUUGGCAGCGCCCAGGGCUAUUCUGGACUCUGUGCUCGCGAGUGACCUCUGGCAGUGCUCAGGGCACCAUAUUUGGUGUCCGGGAUCAAACAGGUCAGCUGUAGGCAAGGGUGAUGUGAACCCCAGAGCUUUCUCGGUGCAUGAGGCCGGAGCUCUGAGAGUUCUUCCCGCCGAGGGGCGUCCCCCGAGUGUCCUGGUAGGGAGAGAUCCCCAUGUUUGGGCAGACAGACCCACACGGCUGUGGCCGAGACCUUGGAACGUCCAACUGUUUCUCAGCUGCACAGUAUUAGUCACCCUGCAGUGUCGCCUGUUGAGGCCAAGGCUGCAUCUGACAUCGAUAAGGCAGCUCUGUGUGGACUCACCACUUUCAAGGGUCCGAUAGCCCCCCGCGGCUAGUGGCGCCUGCGUGGACAGCAGGACCAGGGAAGGAGAUAAUGACAAAGCCAGCAUCCAUCUCCCAGGCAGGCCCAGAUGAUUUGAGUGAAAAGAGAUUCCCUCCCAAUGGGUGUUUGAGCAUUGUAUAACUGAGACUUAAACCUGAAACUUUUGUAACUUUCCACAUGGUGAUUCAAUAAAAAAAUAAAAUUAAAAAAAAAAAAAGAAAGAAAAGAGAUUCCCUCCCAUCCCUGCUCCCUAGCUCGGAGUUCGGGUGUUCGAUUACUCGGCACAGA
Sorex araneus (European shrew) is the source of this 837-nucleotide long non-coding RNA. RefSeq lists it as uncharacterized. Lineage: Eukaryota; Metazoa; Chordata; Mammalia; Eulipotyphla; Soricidae. The transcript is spliced from 3 exons. The record is from RefSeq and is a predicted model, not a curated record.